This 207-nucleotide ribosomal RNA is filed under the name uncultured bacterium. RNAcentral describes it as "partial 16S ribosomal RNA". It matches the Rfam family "Bacterial small subunit ribosomal RNA", at positions 568 to 774 of the family's 1533-position model. The record is from RNAcentral.
CUCGUAGGCGGUUCGUCGCGUCCGGUGUGAAAGUCCAUCGCUUAACGGUGGAUCCGCGCAGGGUACGGGCGGGCUUGAGUGCGGUAGGGGAGACUGGAAUUCCCGGUGUAACGGUGGAAUGUGUAGAUAUCGGGAAGAACACCAAUGGCGAAGGCAGGUCUCUGGGCCGUCACUGACGCUGAGGAGCGAAAGCGUGGGGAGCGAACA